UUGUCCUACGGGGGGCAGCAGUAGGGAAUCUUCCACAAUGGACGAAAGUCUGAUGGAGCAACGCCGCGUGGGUGAAGAAGGUCUUCGGAUCGUAAAACCCUGUUGUUAGAGAAGAACGUGCGUGAGAGUAACUGUUCACGCAGUGACGGUAUCCAACCAGAAAGUCACGGCUAACUACGUGCCAGCAGCCGCGGUAAUACGUAGGUGGCAAGCGUUAUCCGGAUUUAUUGGGCGUAAAGCGAGUGCAGGCGGUUGCUUAGGUCUGAUGUGAAAGCCUUCGGCU
Molecule: ribosomal RNA, 283 nt
Filed under: uncultured bacterium
Lineage: Bacteria
Description: partial 16S ribosomal RNA
Rfam family: Bacterial small subunit ribosomal RNA
Source: RNAcentral